RNAcentral lists this non-coding RNA (31 nucleotides) under Rattus norvegicus (Norway rat). The record is from RNAcentral. Lineage: Eukaryota; Metazoa; Chordata; Mammalia; Rodentia; Muridae.
UGGGGUGUUUUCCUCUGGCGUCAGAGAUGUU